Molecule: unclassified non-coding RNA, 241 nt
Filed under: plant metagenome
Description: partial contains small subunit ribosomal RNA, internal transcribed spacer 1, and 5.8S ribosomal RNA
Source: RNAcentral
UUUCCGUAGGUGAACCUGCGGAAGGAUCAUUAUUUAAUGAUACACUUCUGGCUUUAUGCUGUUGUGCUGGCCCUUUGGGCAAUGUGCACACGGCUCUGGUCACUUGUUUCUUCUGUUCCACCUGUGCACUGCCUGUAGACACGCUGUGUCUAUGAUAUUUGUUAACACACAACAAUGUUAGUUGGCAUGUUAUAUAUAAUAAUAAAAUAUACAACUUUCAACAACGGAUCUCUUGGCUCUC